This is a long non-coding RNA of Lutra lutra (Eurasian river otter), 4777 nucleotides long. RefSeq lists it as uncharacterized. The record is from RefSeq and is a predicted model, not a curated record. NCBI's taxonomy places the organism in Eukaryota, Metazoa, Chordata, Mammalia, Carnivora, Mustelidae. The transcript is spliced from 5 exons.
GCAGACUUCCUGCUGAACGUGGAGCCCAGUGUGGGGUUCAGUCCCACAACCGGAGAUCAUGACAUGAGCCGAAAUAGUCGGACGUUUGACUGAGCCACCCAGGCGCCCCUGUAAUAGUCUAGUUUUAGCUCAUAACAACUUACGUUUGAACGUCUACAGAAGCUCUACAUUUAUACAUUGUUUCCACUUUUUGUUUGAUAUUCAUUUGCAAAUUAGUUAAUUUUUAGUACUUUUAUCUCUUAAUCUUCACACUAGAGUUGUGAUUUACCCAACACUGUUAAAACAUUAGAGUAUUCUGAAUUUAACUGUAUGUUUACCUUUAUGAGUGAGUUUUAUACUUUGAUAGGGUUUCCUGUUACUAAUUAGCAUCUUUCCAUCUCAGCUUGAAGAACUCCCUUUAACAUGUAAAGCUGAUGUAGUGGUCAUGACCUCCUUUAGCUCUUGUCUGGUAAACUCUCUCUCCUUCAGUUCUUCACUCACAACUUUGUGAGUGUGGUAUUAUUCCUGUUUGGCAGUUUCUUCUUACCAAUUGGAAUAGACCAUCAAGUUUUUGCUGACAAAUCUGUUGGUAGUCUUACGGGGUUUCCUUUGUAUGUUGCAAGGUUUUCUCUUCCUGCCUUAAGAUUCUUUACUUUGGCCACUUCAGUUACACUGUGUCCGUGUGCAUUUCUUUAGAUUGAUACUUUCUGGAACUCUUCAGGCUUCCUGACUCUCUGACAGGAUGAAUUCCACUGGCCUGUUUUCCAAGUUUGCUGAUCCUUUCUUCUGUUUGAUCUAGUCUGCUGUUGACCCAUCUACCGAAUUUUUCAGCUGUUCCUGUGUUCUUCAGCUGUAUGAUUUGAUACUUAAUUUUCUCAUUGUUGAGAUUUUCGGUUUGUUCAUGUGUGGCUCUGACCUCCAUGAGCGUCUGUAGAGCUCACUUCGCACUCUUAGGUGGUCGCAUCCUCUAGAAGGCUAUGGAUGCGUGACGUGUGACGUGAGAAGUCCCCAGCCCGCUCCCCCCAGACGAUACCCCCUGAACACAUCUCUAUUCAUACCUUCCCCAGGAUCCCGAGGUGGCAUCUCAGUUAGCAACAGCCGUGGCUCAGUAAGUGACAAGGGCUGGUGGUCCUUACUCAGAAACUUCAGAUGAUGAAAAUCCCAGUGCCUGAUCAUGCUAACAGAGUCGAUGAAAACGCGUCUCUCUGCCAUCUCCUCUCCAGCACUGGUAUUGGUUAUCAAGCAAGCGACAAUAACAGACAAGGCUGGUGUUACAAAGUUUUAACACUUCAUUUAGAGAUACUGCUCCAAGUUCAAGAGAAUUAGUUUUUAACGGAUGCUCACCAAGGUCAGUACAUAACUGAAUCCUUUCACAACGUGGAAAUAGCCAGAUCUCAUCUUUUUGUAAUUCACUCAGGGUAAGUCAUCUUAUUAAUCUACAAUGCAAAAUGCGUGGACUAAAGCUAUUUACAAAUUCCUGUCACCAGACUGCAGCAACCUACGCUCGGCUUUAGUCAGGGAGAUGUCAGGCUCCCGAGGAGCGCUCCCUACGGCUCCUCGUUGGCCUUAAGCAAUUUAGAAUUUAGUGCAGCAAUCUUCCCGACUCUUAAACUUCAAGACAGCAUAGUUAUAGGUAGUAGCCAUCAUGUAGAUCAGCUGGUGGAAGAGAACAGAACACGACAGUAAGAUAACGGCAGUCAGGGCGGCCGCCCGCUUGGGACCCACGGCCUGGCUUCUUCCCCAUCUAUCAUCACCCAGAAGGGGGUCCUGCGGGGCACACAGAUGUCCUCGUGCUUCCAUGCACACUGCUAGUCCUGGCCUCUGCCGUCUGGCCGUUGAUGCAGAAGCCUGGGAGGUGCUGGAAGAUGAGAAGCGCCAGGGGCAGGUUGGGGGCCCGUAUGCCCUGGUCUUCCCCAGCCGGCCCCUGUGGCGGCACAGAGUCCGCCGCUGGCUCCUUUCUCAGCAAGAGCACGGGUCGCCCCCAGAAUGGGAAAGGCCUUUGUUUGCGGGGGCCAGAAAGUUUCCCUCUGGGUCUACCAAGCCUCGAUUUCUUGAACGCCCACAGCGAGCCUUCCCGACCUCUGGCCGUACAUGCAGGAACCCGGGGCCCUUUACACUUGCUCCUCCUUAGCGACCGGUUCCCUAUCAGCCCCUUUCCCUCCGUGCGACCAUCCCUGCUCGCGGCACGGGCCUGGUCCCCGGCGGACACGCAGAGUGGGGCCCGGGGUCAGGCUCCCAACUGCGGUCAGCCCAGGCCCCAGUGGCUUGUCUCAGACUGUCCCCCAGCCGCCUUGCCGCAGGCGAGUCCGUGCUGGGGCAGGGAGGGGGUUUGCAUUCUGUGAUGUUGCUCUUUACAGGUUUCCUGACCACAGUGCCGAACGAAGGGCUCUUGAAAGUCUACAGAGAGCAAGACGGCUCGGAGGGGCCACGGAGCUUCCUUCAGGUAGGAGCCGUAGUGCGGACACCAGGAGCUCAGUGUUAACACCGUGGUGGUCUACACUAAAUCAGGUAUCUUGGAGCAGAACCACAUCAAACAAGGUUAUGUGGUGAUGUGUUUGGCAAGAGAUGUACCCAGUGGUGGCAGAAAGUGAACCCUGUGUGUCCCUCUAGAAACAGAGGAGACCACCGAAGCAGCUCACCCGUCCCGGGACGGAGGGCUACCUACAGGCGGUGCCAGCUGGAAACACAGAUUUCCUGGCAGAGAUGCCCGGCAAGUCCAGGCUCACGGUGCAGCUCUGCCCUAGGCCAGGCCUGGGUACUACCCUGUCGUCUUCCAGCAGAAUCCAAGUUCUGCCACCUGCGCUCUGGGCCUAACAGGCAGUAUGGUCUGCCUGCACCCCAGCCCCGGGGGGAGAUCUACACGGGUGACAUGGAACCGGGCUGCGUCCCGGAGGUGGGCCGCAGGAGGGCAUGUCUGGCAGGAGAGCCUGGAGGGAGGGGAGCGGCGCUAGGCAGGCGCGGGGCCGCGGUUACUCACCAGGGCGAUGACGGUGGCGCCAGCUCCGGCGCACGCCACGAUGAACAGGUGGUAGGACAUGUAGAACUAGGAAAGAACAGGGCACCGGGUGAGCGCUAUAGGCGGAGGGGACGAGCCUCUACCUGGUCCUGCUCCUCCAGGGCUGCUUUCCCCGGGGCCGCUCCCUGGUAGGGGUGGGGGGCUUGCUAAAGCUUCCUGAGGCCCGGGCUGUACCCACGACUAGUUGAAUCUCAGUGAUGGGCGGUAUAAUUCUCCUCAUGACCGCCCUGUGCCGCCACCCUUGGGAGCCCCUGCUUGGAACCAGGCCCUGGUACGGAGAAGCCAAAGGGCCGACGACGGAGGCGGGGCUGAUGGUUUCAGUAACUCGCGGCUUUCCCAAAGCAGGCUCGGAUUCCCCGAAGGAUGCGAGCUCCCCCUGGCGCCCCGGAGAAACCGCUCUAACCAAUGCCGAAAGCACGUUCUAAGGCCUGAGUUUGAAGCAAAGUGGGUUAGGGUGUACUGUGAGCUAAGAGUGAGUGAGAAGUAGUGAUGACCAGCUCUGACUAGAUUGAGAGGAAUUUGUCUUCUAUACAAAUUCUAGGGUUUUUUUAAAAGGGGAUCUUUUCCAUAUGAAUAUUUGCAUUUGUCCCGUGAUAAAUGUCCCACUUUGAAAAACCGUGUGAAGGCAAAAGAGAAGAAUCUACGUGUGUUUUCAGAUGGAGGCAGUUAGGGUCACUCAAAUCAGUGCCCGAGGAGAAAGCUCUCGGUGUGCUAAGGAUCCUCCCUGAACCUGCUGGACCAUGCGAAAGGGGCAUUUUCUGGGUCAGAAAUGGGUGAGUAUGGGUGAAGACAGACUGUUGGUUUGAUCUUAAAAAGUCUGCAGAGAAAAGCCUUCCUUCCUAGCAUCUGUACCACCUCCUGCUCUGUCUCCCCAGGAGGGCCCUUCCUCAGCCGGCUCCACCAAGCAGCCGUGUCCAGGCCCUGACAGGAGAAGGGUUUACCUCACUGGUGUUGCAGAUGUUCUCGAGGGCGGAGCCGCAGAUUUUCCCUGGGAAAGCAUUCCAUGGGAUGAUACCUGUCAGGUGAAGCCCAACAGACGGCUCUGUUUUCAAACCAUCAGGAAGACUAGUGCAGCUGAACCUUGGUGUUUAUGAGAAAACUACUCCAGUGGGCAGUCCUGGGCAAGUUUCUCAUUAUGUUGUAAGAAAAGAUGUUGAAGCCAAGCCCCAUGGGAAAAACAAGAAGCACAAAUGAAACCGUCCUCUCUCCUGAGAAAUCUUGUCUUUAAUUUUAAUGAAAAGUCCCCCCCCCCGCCCCCGCCUUGCUGUUUCUGCCAGGAACAAGGUCCCUCAGCAUCUUGGCAAGAAGCACUCAUUAAAGUCCUGACUUGGGAGGCUGCCUCUCAAUUUAAUUGACAGGAAGAGCAAUGGCCCUUCUGCGGCUUGUCAAAAUGAACCAACCUUAGCUGCCCAUUGCAAGUAUCCCAUUCAUUAGAAAAUGGGCUUGAAGGGGUUUCCAACAAGCCAGAUUUUAUUGAGUUCAGUCUGAUGACUUUAAACUAUGUCUGGAUUUUGUUGCGUUUUCCAGGAGAGCUGAAGUUUAAGCAUUUGGUCAUUUUAAAAGCCCUGAUUUGAAGAGUGGGACAUGGAAAUUAAUUGGACUACAGGGUAUACACAAUAUUUUGGAUAAAGACUUGAAUGGUACAAAACUGAAAAGAAAUUGAAAAAUCUGUAAUCUUUUGAUGUCCAGAAGAUGGAUUAUAAUGCACUGCUACUUGGUAACCCAGUUUGAAAAGUUUCCUUUGCUCCAUACUUGAGAAUACAACAAAAAUCUGUAUUACAA